This 466-nucleotide ribosomal RNA is filed under the name Gemella morbillorum. Its description in RNAcentral is "bacterial SSU rRNA". It matches the Rfam family "Bacterial small subunit ribosomal RNA", at positions 28 to 474 of the family's 1533-position model. Lineage: Bacteria; Bacillati; Bacillota; Bacilli; Caryophanales; Gemellaceae. The record is from RNAcentral.
GACGAACGCUGGCGGCGUGCCUAAUACAUGCAAGUCGAGCGAGGUUUUUCUGGUGCUUGCACUAGAAAAACUUAGCGGCGAACGGGUGAGUAACACGUAAAGAACCUGCCUCAUAGACUGGGACAACUAUUGGAAACGAUAGCUAAUACCGGAUAACAGUAUUUCUCGUAUGAGAGAUAUUUAAAAGUUGGUUAUGCUAACACUAUGAGAUGGCUUUGCGGUGCAUUAGCUAGUUGGUGGGGUAAAGGCCUACCAAGGCGACGAUGCAUAGCCGACCUGAGAGGGUGAUCGGCCACACUGGGACUGAGACACGGCCCAGACUCCUACGGGAGGCAGCAGUAGGGAAUCUUCCGCAAUGGGCGAAAGCCUGACGGAGCAACGCCGCGUGAGUGAAGAAGGAUUUCGGUUCGUAAAGCUCUGUUGUUAGGGAAGAAUGGAUAUGUAGUAACUAUACAUGUAAGAGACG